UAGAAAAAAGGGUAUGUGAUGUUUUACUA
This 29-nucleotide non-coding RNA is filed under the name Mus musculus (house mouse). Lineage: Eukaryota; Metazoa; Chordata; Mammalia; Rodentia; Muridae. The record is from RNAcentral.